AGCACUUUAUACUGUGCUGUGCAUGUGGCUCAUUUCUCACUUAUCUUUUUUUGAUAACCCCUUACUACAUGGAUACCUGUGAAAAUUCUAGAGCUAAUACAUGCUAAAAACCCCAACUUCGGGAAGGGGUGUAUUUAUUAAAUAAAAAACCAAGGCCCUUCGGGGCUCCUUGGGGAAUCAUAAUACCGUAACGAAUCGCAGGGCCUUGCCCCGGCAAUGGUUCUUUCAAAUUUCUGCCCUAUCAACUUUCAAUGGAAGGAUAGUGGCCUACCUUGGGGGCAACGGGUAACGGGAAAUUAGGGUUCAAUUCCGAAAAAGGAGCCUGAAAAACGGCUACCACAUCCAAGGAACGCAGCAGGCGCGCAAAUUACCCCCUCCCAAUACUUUGAGGAAGUGACGAUAAAUACUGAUACUGGGCUCUUUUGACUCUCCUAGUUGGAAUGAUAACAAUUUAUAUCCCUCCUCAACGAACAUUUGUUGGGCAAGUCUGGUGGCGCCAGCCGCCGCAAUUCCUCCUCCUAUAACAUAUAUUAAAAAUGUUGCUGUUAAUAAGCUCGUAGUAGACCCUUGUCUCUGUCUGGCCGCCCCUCCUCCUCGUUAGUGCUUACCUGUUUGGAGCAUCCUUUCUUGGUGACCUCAUGGCAUGUACUGUAUGUGGUGUGAACGAGGACUUUUACUGUGACUUAGUAAAAAUGAUCAAGGUCAACGGAUGCUCUUACCCAUAAACAUGGAAUAGUAAAAUAAGACGUGCGGCGUACUUUCAUUUUUUUUGUUUCCGACAUAACCAUAAAUAGUGAUAGUGAUGGGUCAGGAGCAUUUCUUCGCGUCAGCCAAAAUUCUUAACCUCUUUAGAAAUAACAACUCUGCUGCUUAUGCCUAUUACAGUAUUGUUUCAAAGACAACGACAAAAGGAUUCAACCCGAAUGAUAUCAUCGAUCUAGUAUUUACAGAACUUAAAACAGAUCAUUUGUUCACAUAGUGAUAUCCAAAGGUAUAAGAAUUUAAGUUAAAGUUAUUUGCGAAAGAAAUGACUCUAACCCCUGACCAUUCAUGAAUAUUAUUGCACGCAGAUAAAAU
This 1077-nucleotide ribosomal RNA is filed under the name fungal sp. NIOCC F2. Its description in RNAcentral is "bacterial SSU rRNA". The stretch from base 1 to 969 matches the Rfam family "Eukaryotic small subunit ribosomal RNA". The record is from RNAcentral. Lineage: Eukaryota; Fungi.